Molecule: transfer RNA, 73 nt
Filed under: Stegodyphus mimosarum
Lineage: Eukaryota; Metazoa; Arthropoda; Arachnida; Araneae; Eresidae
Rfam family: tRNA
About the family: Transfer RNA (tRNA) molecules are approximately 80 nucleotides in length. Their secondary structure includes four short double-helical elements and three loops (D, anti-codon, and T loops).
Source: Rfam by way of RNAcentral
GCCUUCGUGGUGUAGUGGUCAGCACGCUCGACGCAUAACUGACAGGUCCGUGGUUCGAAUCCCGGCGAAGGCG